CCGAGAAUUUUUCACAAUGGGCGAAAGCCUGAUGGAGCGACGCCGCGUGGGGGAUGAAUGACUUCGGCCCGUAAACCCCUGCCAUUCGCGAGCAAACGUUAUUAUUUAAAAGAUGAUAGCCUGAUAGUAGCGAAAGAGGAAGGGACGGCUAACUCUGUGCCAGCAGCCGCGGUAAUACAGAGGUCCCAAGCGUUGUUCGGAUUUACUGGGCGUAAAGGGUGCGUAGGUGGUGGGGUAAGUCGGAUGUGAAAUCUCCGAGCUCAACUCGGAAAGUGCAUUGGAAACUACCCUGCUCGAGGGUUGGAGGGGGGACUGGAAUACUUGGUGUAGCAGUGAAAUGCGUAGAUAUCAAGUGGAACACCAGUGGCGAAGGCGAGUCCCUGGACAACUCCUGACACUGAGGCACGAAAGCUAGGGGAGCAAACA
Molecule: ribosomal RNA, 426 nt
Filed under: uncultured bacterium
Lineage: Bacteria
Description: bacterial SSU rRNA
Rfam family: Bacterial small subunit ribosomal RNA
Source: RNAcentral